Molecule: ribosomal RNA, 233 nt
Filed under: Pseudomonas sp.
Lineage: Bacteria; Pseudomonadati; Pseudomonadota; Gammaproteobacteria; Pseudomonadales; Pseudomonadaceae
Description: partial 16S ribosomal RNA
Rfam family: Bacterial small subunit ribosomal RNA
Source: RNAcentral
GCAAGUCGAGCGGAUGACGGGAGCUUGCUCCUUGAUUCAGCGGCGGACGGGUGAGUAAUGCCUAGGAAUCUGCCUGGUAGUGGGGGACAACGUUUCGAAAGGAACGCUAAUACCGCAUACGUCCUACGGGAGAAAGCAGGGGACCUUCGGGCCUUGCGCUAUCAGAUGAGCCUAGGUCGGAUUAGCUUGUUGGUGAGGUAAUGGCUCACCAAGGCGACGAUCCGUAACUGGUC